Non-coding RNA from Mus caroli (Ryukyu mouse), 701 nucleotides. NCBI's taxonomy places the organism in Eukaryota, Metazoa, Chordata, Mammalia, Rodentia, Muridae. The record is from RefSeq and is a predicted model, not a curated record.
GACUGUGAGGAGCAACUGCGUUGCACACCCUGCUCCGGAGUGGAUGGGGACUUGUCCGAGGAGUGAUCUGAACCCUUCUCCACCAUGGUGUCUCCGUCCUGGUUCUGUGGUGUUGGUUAAGGCAACUGAGCUCAAGAACCAAAGAACAGCACAGCAGAAAUUAGGUGGCCUUUCUGACUCAGUCCCUCCCCUGUGUAUGAUCUCAUGGUGAACCCCUCCACGCUGAACUUCACAUUUAAUUGUUAGAGGAAAAUGAGCGUAUUCUCUUCACCCCCCACCAGGAUAUGAGAAGGAGGGUGGGAAAGAACACAUGGCGAAGCACUGAGAGACUGAGCAUCCCUGGGACAGAAGGGCUCAGAUCUGCACUAGGGGAAGCACACAGACACAAGACACAGGCAGUCUGAGCCCACAACCAGCUCAGCAUCACUGCUUUCUCUGUGGUCAGGACUACACCCACACAGGCAGCAGAGAUUGCCAUAGGAUUAUGUGAGAUGGAAAAUCCUCUAUGGGCAGGGUGGAUUCGCACAGAAGAACAGCAGCCCGGCCAUUUCUCUCACAGUUCUGACCUCGUUGCUCUUAAGAACAAAGUCAGGUCCUGGGCUGCAACUUCUUCAUUCCUCUUCUCCCUUACUGGAAGUGAAAUAUAUUCCCUCAAACCUCUUCUCAGAUAUUAAAACGCACCUUCCCUCUCUCCAACAACU